AGUUCAACUGGUACAACACGGCAUUAACACUGCCAGGGUUAUGGGGUUCGAUUCCUACAGGGGCCA
Non-coding RNA from Merluccius polli (Benguela hake), 66 nucleotides. Lineage: Eukaryota; Metazoa; Chordata; Actinopteri; Gadiformes; Merlucciidae. The record is from the annotation of a GenBank genome assembly.